UGGAUCAUGUGGCAGUUUUAUUUUUGAUUUUUCGAGAAACUUCUGUACUGGUUUCCAUGAUGGCUGCACCGUACUAAUUUUAUUAUUAUUUCCAACAGUACAAUGAAUAAGUUAGUGGCAAAAUAUUUUGGCAUGUUUAUUUUUCCAGAAAAAAAUCCUGCAAGAAAAAUUACCCAUUGAAAGCACAUGAAUGCUUUUAAGGGUUUUGAUACGUAGUGUCAAAAUGCUGUCAUUAAGCUUAUAUCAGCUCAGAUUGCCAUCAGCAUUAUAUGAAUGUCCAUUUCAUCAGAAUGUCAUUGAGCCCACAGGUGCUAAGGUUGCUAAAAAUCCCUCUGAGAUGCUGAAGGUGAUGAGGACAGGUCCAGCCAGACCACCAUGUAACUGUAGAUGCCAGCCAGCCUAGAAGGCAACCAGAGGUCGACACUGAGCUUUGCUGCUUCAGCGAUGGGAGCUGUGCUGAGCGCGGGACCCCACCUGCAUUUCUCCAGGCAUGGGAGAGGAGAAAAUCUACCAAAGACAGGUCUCUCCAAGUUGCCCAGCAUGACCUUGAACUUGGGAUCCUCCUGCUUCAGCCUUCUGAGUGUCUCUGGCAUUACAAUGGGCCAACACUAGACUUGGCUCAUUAUUUCGUUCCAAGUAAAGAAGGCAAAAGUCAGUAGCCUAGGUGAACUUUGACAUGGCUGAUUCAUUAAUGAUACUCUAAAAUAAAUUCACAUCAAAGGGAAAUCUUGUGUCCUCCCACCACUUGGGACCUCUGGCUUUUUAGAAAUGAAUCCAGGAUUUGAUGAUCAUUCUGUCUGCCAAAACAAAAGUCAGAAAACAAAUGCCUCUCAGAGCUAGACAUGGCACUGGGUUGCUUUAUCUCUGUGAAGAAAAUGCUCCUGAGGUUUGGUAGUGAAAAGUCUGAGUGACACAUUUAGUUGAGGCCUUCCUGCACUAGACGUGGGGCAGGAAAGAUCAAGAGAAGUAAGGAAAGUGUUGGAUGCGGAGGCUGAGCCUGCUCACUUCCCCCACCAAAGCAAACCCCAAUCCCAACGCUCAGGAAACCUCGACACCUGCUCAUUUCAGACAGAAAUGCGCAGCAGCUGUAGGAAAAGAUGGCCUCAUAUGCCCAGGGGAGCUCAGACCAUCAGGAAGCUUGUGAGUCCCUGUUACAAAGGGUGAUCAAACAGCAUGGUGAAAGUUUAAAUAAAAAGAAUUUCCUAUAUAUAGUAAAAGACUCACAGCCAUGAGUCCCCCUCAAAAUUCUCUCCACAUUUAUCCCAUGGCUCUUGCCAUUUUCUGAAGCAGUUCUGUAAGUACUCUUUCUUGAGCAUCGUUACAAGGUGCCAAUAAAAGUAUGAGACUGUUGCCGCCAGGUGCCAUCCGCUGACAAGGCAGCCUUGUAAAAACAUGGCAGUGUGUCCUGUGUUUGUCGGAUCUGGCACUGUGUGACUUCUGGCUCCUCCCUGAAGUCAAAAUGACCACAAAAGGCCAGCAUUUUGUGCUGACUCAGGACCCUGAGGCAGUCACAACUAAAGACACCUGGUGUGUGUCAGGCGUUGUCCACAUUGCCUUCCUCAGCUCUCAGGUGAGCACCAUCUGUGGUCCCAUUUUACACUUGUGACUCGGAAGCCAGCUGACACCUUAUGUUUCCCCUCUUCUACCCAAAUGUGGCUGUGAUACUGAAGCUGACCACCUGAUACACAAGCCUGAGUGAGCUGAUGAUCCUAGGGGUAAAAAGGGAGAGUGGAACAUAUCUUGCAUUCACCAAAUCCCACAGAAACCUCCAGCGGCGGCAGCUCCUCCAUCCUCGGACCUCCUUGCUGUGCUCUGCCCAGGCAGAGCCAACUCUCUUCUCCCUCCUCCUGCUCUUCCUCUGGGGGAUCCCUGCAUGGCCCACGCGUGACUCAUUGUGCUUCACCUUUGUCCUGCAUCCACAUGCGAGUAUGUGCGAGGUGGGGGCCAGUUCCUCAGUGCCACAGACUAUGUUUGCCAAUUCAGACUAGAGUUCUACUGUCUAACCUCCUGAUAAGCCUCUUCCUGUAAAGAUCUAUGAAGUUCAGUAGCUAGGAAGACCUUGGGAAAGAAAAUAGAAAAUAGGAAGUGUGGGUAUGUAAACCCAAGUGCAUUAAGACAGCACCAGUGCUAGGUCUUGGGAUAGGGAGGGUCAGUGGUCAACAUUUGUAUGUCCAUAAUGUUUAGAGUUACUUUCUGGGGUGCAGUACUAGGGACAGAACCCAGGGCUUCCUCAGGCUAGACAAGUUCUCCACCUCUGAGUUACAUUCUCGGCCUUUUUUAAAUUUUAUUUUGAGACAGAGUCUCACUAAGGUCCCCAGGUUGGGCUUCAAUUUGUGAUCUUCCUGUCUCAGUCUCUGGAGUAGUCCAGUUACAUGUGUGCAUGGCCAUCCCAGCUAGAACAACCUUUGUGGUAUUUAUGAGUAUCAGGGCUUUCUCCUUUUUUUUUUGCCUCAUUUUGAAUAAUUCUAGUGACAAAGAGCUUAGUAUUUCUUUGUUUAGAGCUUGGUAUUUUUGGAGAGAACCUAUUCCACUGUUGGACAGCCCAGGAAAAGAGCUCCUUUUUCUUAAACCAAAUUCUAUUUUCCUUCAGUUUUCACUGACACUCGCUAAUUCUUUUUUUUUU
Chinchilla lanigera (long-tailed chinchilla) is the source of this 2623-nucleotide long non-coding RNA. RefSeq lists it as uncharacterized. The transcript has 3 exons. NCBI's taxonomy places the organism in Eukaryota, Metazoa, Chordata, Mammalia, Rodentia, Chinchillidae. The record is from RefSeq and is a predicted model, not a curated record.